RNAcentral lists this ribosomal RNA (253 nucleotides) under uncultured bacterium. RNAcentral's name for it is "partial 16S ribosomal RNA". It matches the Rfam family "Bacterial small subunit ribosomal RNA", at positions 524 to 776 of the family's 1533-position model. The record is from RNAcentral.
UACGUAGGGGGCAAGCGUUGUCCGGAAUCAUUGGGCGUAAAGAGCGUGUAGGCGGCCCGAUAAGUCCGCUGUGAAAGUCCAGGGCUCAACCCUGGAAUGCCGGUGGAUACUGUCGGGCUCGAGUUCGGAAGAGGUGAGUGGAAUGCCUGGUGUAGUGGUGAAAUGCGUAGAGAUCAGGCGGAACACCCGUGGCGAAGGCGGCCAGCUGGGUCGUCCCUGACGCUGAGGCGCGAAGGCGUGGGGAGCGAACGGG